This 229-nucleotide ribosomal RNA is filed under the name uncultured bacterium. RNAcentral describes it as "partial 16S ribosomal RNA". It matches the Rfam family "Bacterial small subunit ribosomal RNA", at positions 568 to 796 of the family's 1533-position model. The record is from RNAcentral.
CGCGUAGGCGGCCUAUUAAGUCAGUUGUGAAAGCUCCCAGCUCAACUGGGAGAGGUCAAUUGAUACUGGUGGGCUUGAGGUCAGCAGAGGGAGGUGGAAUUCCCGGUGUAGCGGUGAAAUGCGUAGAGAUCGGGAGGAACACCAGUGGCGAAGGCGGCCUCCUGGGCUGUUUCUGACGCUGAGGCGCGAAAGCGUGGGGAGCAAACAGGAUUAGAUACCCUGGUAGUCC